Molecule: ribosomal RNA, 465 nt
Filed under: Vreelandella stevensii
Lineage: Bacteria; Pseudomonadati; Pseudomonadota; Gammaproteobacteria; Oceanospirillales; Halomonadaceae
Description: partial 16S ribosomal RNA
Rfam family: Bacterial small subunit ribosomal RNA
Source: RNAcentral
CCUACGGGUGGCUGCAGUGGGGAAUAUUGGACAAUGGGCGAAAGCCUGAUCCAGCCAUGCCGCGUGUGUGAAGAAGGCCUUCGGGUUGUAAAGCACUUUCAGUGGGGAAGAAAGCCUUGGGGCUAAUACCCUCGAGGAAGGACAUCACCCACAGAAGAAGCACCGGCUAACUCCGUGCCAGCAGCCGCGGUAAUACGGAGGGUGCGAGCGUUAAUCGGAAUUACUGGGCGUAAAGCGCACGUAGGCGGUCUGAUAAGCCGGUUGUGAAAGCCCCGGGCUCAACCUGGGAACGGCAUCCGGAACUGUCAGGAUAGAGUGCAGGAGAGGAAGGUAGAAUUCCCGGUGUAGCGGUGAAAUGCGUAGAGAUCGGGAGGAAUACCAGUGGCGAAGGCGGCCUUCUGGACUGACACUGACGCUGAGGUGCGAAAGCGUGGGUAGCAAACAGGAUUAGAUACCCUAGUAGUC